This 496-nucleotide ribosomal RNA is filed under the name uncultured bacterium. Its description in RNAcentral is "partial 16S ribosomal RNA". It matches the Rfam family "Bacterial small subunit ribosomal RNA", at positions 32 to 507 of the family's 1533-position model. The record is from RNAcentral.
GAUGACGCUGGCGGCGUGCCUCAUACAUGCAAGUCGCGCGAACAGACGAGGAGCUUGCUCCUCUGACGUUAGCGGCGGACGGGUGAGUAACACGUGGAUAACCUACCUAUAAGACUGGGAUAACUUCGGGAAACCGGAGCUAAUACCGGAUAAUAUAUUGAACCGCAUGGUUCAAUAGUGAAAGACGGUUUUGCUGUCACUUAUAGAUGGAUCCGCGCCGCAUUAGCUAGUUGGUAAGGUAACGGCUUACCAAGGCGACGAUGCGUAGCCGACCUGAGAGGGUGAUCGGCCACACUGGAACUGAGACACGGUCCAGACUCCUACGGGAGGCAGCAGUAGGGAAUCUUCCGCAAUGGGCGAAAGCCUGACGGAGCAACGCCGCGUGAGUGAUGAAGGUCUUCGGAUCGUAAAACUCUGUUAUUAGGGAAGAACAAAUGUGUAAGUAACUAUGCACGUCUUGACGGUACCUAAUCAGAAAGCCACGGCUAACUACGUG